This 264-nucleotide ribosomal RNA is filed under the name uncultured bacterium. Its description in RNAcentral is "partial 16S ribosomal RNA". It matches the Rfam family "Bacterial small subunit ribosomal RNA", at positions 92 to 354 of the family's 1533-position model. The record is from RNAcentral.
CGACCGGCGCACGGGUGAGUAACGCGUAUCCAACCUGCCCUUUACUAUGGGACAGCCCGUCGAAAGGCGGAUUAAUACCGUAUGUUGUCAUGUUGAUGCAUAUUUUCAUGACCAAAGGCUUCGGCCGGUAAAGGAUGGGGAUGCGUCUGAUUAGCUUGCCGGCGGGGUAACGGCCCACCGGGGCGACGAUCAGUAGGGGUUCUGAGAGGAAGGUCCUCCACAUUGGAACUGAGACACGGUCCAAACUCCUACGGAAGGCAGCAG